AUGGUAUAAGAGCUUUUCUUCCUCAUUGUAGUUUUUCAGCUUCAGCUUGCAGGCUCCAUCAUUAAGGUUGCAGAGCUGUUCGUGGGAAAGAAGGAAAUGAACUUCAAUAUGGUAAGCCACAUUGAUUAUCAUUAAGUCUCCCCUCCCUCGAGGAAUUGAAGAAUUGGUAAUGUCUAAUUGUCAACCUUCUCUUAUACGCACACAAUCCACACUAAUACCUCCCUCUCUCAAGUUACUCACCUCUCUUCUGAAACAAUGUUCCCAAAACCUUCUUACCUCAGCUACAUAUCACAUUUGGAGAUCUCGCAUCCUUGUAUUUUCACGGCAAAUGGGUUUGUCAGCUUCCUUGAUGGCAGCAAUCAAUGUCCCCCAAGUUCGCAAGAGAAUGUAAGCCGAAACCCCAUAUUCCAAAUGUGGACACUUAUUGAUCAAAAUCUAACUGCAACCCUAUACUCACGAUUUCACCAAUGGUCCUUCCUCAUAUUUUUCACCCUAAUACUAUGACAGAGAUUUAGGCAACCUUAGAGCGUAGAUUACAACCUAUAAACAGAUCCAGGGCGAUUCAAUUAAAAAACAAACUUCAUCACAUAUCAAUGAAGGAUCAAAAUAUGGCACUUCAAACAUCUUGUGGACGCAACACUUCACUCACCAGGGGAAGAGGACGAAAUCAGAGGAGGAUACUCGGGUGGAUCAGGAGGGGCAACUUUGAAUGCACACCAACAAGUCUAGCACAAGCCCUCAAUGCCACCUCAAGGAGUGGGUCUUAGAUUCUGGUGCCACAGCCCACUUCACUUUGGAACUCUGUCAACUUCAACAAGCUACACCAUACCAUGGAAACUGAGCAAGUUAUGGUUGGAAAUUGACAGGUGGUUCGAUUUCAGCACAAGGGCAAUGGCAUUCUUCCUACCCCCACUCACUCAACAAAUACCUUUAAAGGGUCCCAGUUCUAGAGGACUCUACUCCAUUCCAUCCUGUACUUCUCAACCACAAGCUUUUACUUUUUCUUUAUCAAACAUUAAGAAGGCUGAUCUAUGGCAUCGGUGUUUGGAACACCCCCAUUCUGACCUCAUGACGGACCUCUCCAAAUGCCACUCACUCAUCAUACCAUCGGUCCAACCUCCCGCUAUAUCUGCAAUCUUACCA
Phalaenopsis equestris is the source of this 1143-nucleotide long non-coding RNA. RefSeq lists it as uncharacterized. The record is from RefSeq and is a predicted model, not a curated record. Lineage: Eukaryota; Viridiplantae; Streptophyta; Magnoliopsida; Asparagales; Orchidaceae. The transcript has 3 exons.